RNAcentral lists this long non-coding RNA (276 nucleotides) under Lepidothrix coronata (blue-crowned manakin). RNAcentral describes it as "lncRNA (ENSLCOG00000004699.1)". Lineage: Eukaryota; Metazoa; Chordata; Aves; Passeriformes; Pipridae. The record is from RNAcentral.
CUCAAACAGCUAGAGAUUUUUCAUCUGGCCCAGCUCAACUUAAAUCCAGACUAAUCAUGUUCCUGCGCACAACAGGUUCCUCUGGAUCCUCAAUUUGACAGCAUUGUUGUGGGGCAGUCUGCAGACCCCAUGGUAUGGAAAAGUCUGUAUUAAUACAGCAUCUCCUGUGGAGGCUAUAUACUUUCUAUUCCCAAAGUAACUGAGGAGACUGGAUAAUGUGAAAAAAAGCCUGGGUUUUCCAGAGACUGGUUUUUGGAACACCAGAGUUUGCAGACA